This 524-nucleotide ribosomal RNA is filed under the name uncultured bacterium. RNAcentral's name for it is "bacterial SSU rRNA". It matches the Rfam family "Bacterial small subunit ribosomal RNA", at positions 28 to 526 of the family's 1533-position model. The record is from RNAcentral.
GACGAACGCUGGCGGCGUGCCUAAUACAUGCAAGUCGAACGCUUCUUUUCCGCCGAACUUCGGUUCACUGGAAAAGAGGAGUGGCGAACGGGUGAGUAACACGUGGGUAACCUGCCCAUCAGAGGGGGAUAACACUUGGAAACAGGUGCUAAUACCGCAUAAUGCUUUUUCUCGCAUGAGAGAAAGCUGAAAGGCGCUUUUGCGUCACUGAUGGAUGGACCCGCGGUGCAUUAGCUAGUUGGUGAGGUAACGGCUCACCAAGGCAACGAUGCAUAGCCGACCUGAGAGGGUGAUCGGCCACACUGGGACUGAGACACGGCCCAGACUCCUACGGGAGGCAGCAGUAGGGAAUCUUCGGCAAUGGACGAAAGUCUGACCGAGCAACGCCGCGUGAGUGAAGAAGGUUUUCGGAUCGUAAAACUCUGUUGUUAGAGAAGAACAAGGAUGAGAAGAGAAUGUUCAUCCCUUGACGGUAUCUAACCAGAAAGCCACGGCUAACUACGUGCCAGCAGCCGCCGUAAAAC